Gossypium arboreum is the source of this 455-nucleotide long non-coding RNA. RefSeq lists it as uncharacterized. Lineage: Eukaryota; Viridiplantae; Streptophyta; Magnoliopsida; Malvales; Malvaceae. The record is from RefSeq and is a predicted model, not a curated record. The transcript is spliced from 2 exons.
UAUCAUUUUUUUCCAUUCUUUCUUCUUCAACCGUGGGAAAGAACUGAAAAUGGCAGCCAUGGAUGAGCUCCAUUCAGCCAAGCUUCUAUGGCUUAUAUAGAGUUCCAGGUUAGCUCGGGUUGGAAGCCGUCAGAGAUAUUAUCACCCUAUCGAGUUAACAUUAUCGGAGUAAGUAAACUCAAGUGAUUCGAGUCUAUGGCAUGUAUAGGGUUUUAAUGUGAGUAUGUAAUAUUAUGAUUUAGCCAAAGGCAUUGGCUUGUUAUUAAGGUAGUAUUAGUCAUGUAAAUUGGCCUAUGUCGGCUAAUGACGUUAUGGGCCCAUAUGAUUAUUCUUAUGCAUUUAUGUUAUUAUUUCUUGUGAUGUGGCUUACAACAUGUAUGCCUAGAGAUUGAAUUGAGAUUCAUUGAUGAGCUAGUAACUAAUGCAGGAUUAAGUGAUUGGUAAAUAGUUAAUAA